AUUGAACGCUGGCGGCAGGCCUAACACAUGCAAGUCGAGCGAGCGGCGGACGGGUGAGUAAUGUAUGGGGACUGCCCGAUAGAGGGGGAUAACUACUGGAAACGGUGGCUACUACCGCAUACUAUCGGAUAACCCAUGUGGGAUUAGCUAGUAGGUGGGGAAAAGGCUAACCAAGCCGACGAUCUCUAGCUGGUCUGAGAGGAUGACCAGCCUAUAUAGGAUUGCGACCCGGCACAGACUCCUACGGAGGCAGCAGUGGGGACUCUUGCGCAAGUGGGACAACCCUGAUGCAGCCAUGCCGCGUGAAUUAAGAAGGCCUUGGGGGUGUAAAGGUCUUUCGGUUGCGAGGCGUUACCUACAGAAGAAGCACCGGCUAACUCCGUGCCAGCAGCCGCGGUAAUUC
RNAcentral lists this ribosomal RNA (403 nucleotides) under uncultured bacterium. RNAcentral describes it as "partial 16S ribosomal RNA". It matches the Rfam family "Bacterial small subunit ribosomal RNA", at positions 30 to 526 of the family's 1533-position model. The record is from RNAcentral.